RNAcentral lists this ribosomal RNA (406 nucleotides) under uncultured bacterium. RNAcentral's name for it is "partial 16S ribosomal RNA". It matches the Rfam family "Bacterial small subunit ribosomal RNA", at positions 30 to 526 of the family's 1533-position model. The record is from RNAcentral.
AUUGAACGCUGGCGGCAGGCCUAACACAUGCAAGUCGAACGAGUGGCGGACGGGUGAGUAAUGUCUGGGAAACUGCCUGAUGGAGGGGGAUAACUACUGGAAACGGUAGCUAAUACCGCAUACCAUCGGAUGUGCCCAGAUGGGAUUAGCUAGUGGGUGGGGUCAAGGUGCACCUAGGCGACGAUCCCUAGCUGGUCUGAGAGGAUGACCGGCGACACUGGAACUGGGUCACGGUCCAGAAGCCUACGGGAGUCAGCAGGGGGGAAUAUUGCACAAUGGGCGCAAGCCUGAUGCAGCCAUGCCGCGUGUAUGAAGAAGGAAUUCGGGUUGUAAAGUACUUUCAGCGGGGAGGCGUUACCCGUAGAAGAAGCACCGGCUAACUCCGUGCCAGCAGCCGCGGUAAUUC